This 379-nucleotide ribosomal RNA is filed under the name uncultured eukaryote. RNAcentral describes it as "partial 18S ribosomal RNA". It matches the Rfam family "Eukaryotic small subunit ribosomal RNA", at positions 592 to 976 of the family's 1831-position model. The record is from RNAcentral.
CAAUAGCGUAUAUUUAAGUUGUUGCAGUUAAAAAGCUCGUAGUUGGAUUUCGGGUGGGAUUUGCCGGUCCGUCGUUACGAUGUGCACUGGCCAGUCCUAUCUUGUUGUCGGGGACUAGCUCCUUGGAUUCACUUCCUGGGACUAGGAGCUGACGAGGUUACUUUGAGUAAAUUAGAGUGUUCAAAGCAAGCCUACGCUCUGAAUACAUUAGCAUGGAAUAACACGAUAGGACUCUGGCUUAUCUUGUUGGUCUGUGAGACCAGAGUAAUGAUUAAGAGGGACAGUCGGGGACAUUCGUAUUUCAUUGUCAGAGGUGAAAUUCUUGGAUUUAUGAAAGACGAACUUCUGCGAAAGCAUUUGGCAAGGAUGUUUUCAUUAA